UACAGAGGUCUCAACCGUUGUUCGGAUUCAUUGGGCGUAAAGCGCGCGUAGGCGGCCCGGUAAGUCCGCUGUGAAAGUCAGAGGCUCAACCUUUGAAUGUCAGCGGAUACUGCCGGGCUAGAGUCCGGAAGAGGCGAGUGGAACUCCGGGUGUAGUGGUGGAAUGCGUAGAGCUCCGGAGGAACACCAGUGGCGAAGGCGGCCGCCUGGGCCAGUCCUGACGCUGAGCCGCGAAAGCGUGGGGAGCGAUCCGG
This 253-nucleotide ribosomal RNA is filed under the name uncultured bacterium. Its description in RNAcentral is "partial 16S ribosomal RNA". It matches the Rfam family "Bacterial small subunit ribosomal RNA", at positions 524 to 776 of the family's 1533-position model. The record is from RNAcentral.